Long non-coding RNA from Macaca mulatta (Rhesus monkey), 1968 nucleotides. NCBI's taxonomy places the organism in Eukaryota, Metazoa, Chordata, Mammalia, Primates, Cercopithecidae. The record is from Ensembl.
UGGAGUUGUUGAUAAUCAAAGAUGUAGAGGGAUGGAGAGGGAAAUGAGGAGGCUUUCCAAGAUUUUCAUACAGCACAAAGAGAAAGCAUAGAGAUCAAAAUAUCUAAUGUUCAUUUAAAUGAGCAACAUUUAAUAUGAAAAUUGGGCAGGAGAAUGAUAUGUUGAGUGGAUAGUAUAAAAACUGAAAACUAUGAAUAAUUAUAUCAAAGAAAUCUUUAAAGAAAGAAACACAGAAGCUUGAUUGCUAAGACAUUAGCAUCCAAAGUCAUGUAUUCACUGCAUAUAAUACGGAUUUUUAAAAUAUACUGGCAAUGAGAAAUUUGAGCCUGCAACUUACAUGAAACAUUCAGCAAAAUAGCAAUUUGCAGGUAAUGAGAAAAUAGCUCUGUGGUGGUAGUCUUUAGUAUUACAAUUACAAAUGAUGUGUAUCCAAGAGAAUCCUAGUGCUAAUCAGAAAAAUAAAGCAAACUCCUAGGUAUCCAUGUGCUCAUUCUUUUUUUUUAAAUUUAUUUAAUAAAUUUUAUCUAUUGAACUUUACCUCAUAUAGGACAAACACAUUGAUCAUAUCUCUCUGAGAUUUCUGUCAGGCCACCUUCUGGAGUUCAGUUCCAAAAGAUUACAAGGUGGAACUGCAGAGAGUUUCCAUGGUAACCUUAGUGUGUUCCCAUCUGAAUAGCCAGAACUCUGACCCCUCAUUCACUUGUUAGCUUACCCAGGAGACCCAGAGCUUCCAGGGAACUCUACUUCCUUAGAACAGAGGUAGUAGGUAAAGUAAUGUAAAGGGCAAGUGCUGGAAAAAAAAAUUUGAAGACAGCAGUUUUAUUUACCCUCUAGGAAAAUAACUUUUCAUUUGGUGAUAACCAUUUGUUAUGGAUCAUGAAGAACGCCUGAAAAUAGACAAGGAUGGAACAUUCAGAGGUGGAAGAGAAUCUACUGAGAGGUGUGCAGCGAAAACAGACAGUUUCUGUAGCCAAGUGUGGGGAAUUAUGUAAAAUGCUACAGAGAAGACUAAUAAGAUAAGGAGUAAACUGCGUCCAUUGGAUUUAGCAACCAAGAGGUUUUUGGCCUUGAAAGUGGAGGAGAGCACUGGUGGAAGAGUAAAAGGAGAUGAAACUGAAGAUUGAUUUCAAAGAACUGAACAAAACUGAAGCUGUUAAUGUACACUAUGCUUUCCCCAAAAUCUUGGCUGUGAAUGCAAGGGAAAUAAAAGAGUAGAUGUGAGAAGAGGGUGUAAAUAUGAGUGGGAUGCAUCUUAAAACAUAGAAGAAGAUGUAGAAAAAGAGAAGAGAGUAAGCAGAAGUGCUAAUGACUCUGAGAAGGUAGGAGAGAUGGCAUAGAAAGUGCAGGGAAGUAACUGAGGCUUCAUAUGCAGAAGACAAGUCCCUUUCCAAGAGAAGGAAGGGAAAAAUAUAGGAAUGAAGACAGAUGCAUGCAUUUGUAUUUGUCAGGAAGUUAAGGAAAUUUAGAGAUAAGCAUCUCAAAUUUUAGGGAAUAAAGAGUAAGGUUACCUGAUAAGCUAAUGAGAGAGGGGUGGAAUUAAGUGCUCAAGUGGUGUUACUAUGUUACAUGUCUAUGGGGGACAAUAAGAAUCUGUUCAUCUGCUUGCCUGUCUGCUUGUCUUUCUAGCCAUCUCUUACUGCCCUGAGUGCCCAGCUGACAUUGCUUAGGAACAGAAGAUUGAAACUACUAGUUAGUGAUGAUUGAAGUGGGGCUCAAACAGUAGAGACUCUAGGUUCAACGUGGAAGGGAAUGAAAGAUAAUGAAAAAAGGAAGUGAGAAGAAAUCGGAGGCUUUAUUAAUGUUGAACCAUUAGACAGGAAGUAGAGUUUAGGCAUUAAAGUUAUGAGAAAUACCUAAAUUCAGAAUAAUGUCAAGGUUUAAGGUGUUGCUGUUUAUAAGAGUGGUUGAGCUUCAGCAAAGGGAAAAACAGUCAAAAUCCCAGCUGGAUUAAGAAGCAUUGAUGCUAAU